Long non-coding RNA from Chiroxiphia lanceolata (lance-tailed manakin), 1324 nucleotides. RefSeq lists it as uncharacterized. NCBI's taxonomy places the organism in Eukaryota, Metazoa, Chordata, Aves, Passeriformes, Pipridae. The transcript is spliced from 3 exons. The record is from RefSeq and is a predicted model, not a curated record.
CAUCCUUCUCGUUCCCGUGUAGGGAUGGAGCCAGGCUUGGGAGACACGGCGUAAAUUUGUUUUCCAUCACAUGCCGCGGCACGAGGUCCGUGUGAAGCUGCCCCGAGAGGACGACGCGGCCCAAAAUGAAGUUGUGCGGUCGUUACAGAGAUCGGUCACGUCACCAAGAUGGAGUUCCCUACCUUUGGAUGCUGAGUAGGAUCGACUGGGCAGGAAGAAUCCUACCUAGAAGAGAAAUAAAAAUAAAUUAUCCCCUUAAACGCAGUGCAAGAAAUACGGCCCUCAAGUCUCACCAGGCGGCAAAACAGUGAGAGUUCUGUGUGAGCUCUGUCUCAGAGUUCCCAGAACAACAAAAAGUUCUCAGCUUGGUCCCAGGCUGUGUCUCAUGAGUUGCCUGCUUACAGGGGGAGGUGGUGGCAAGUCGAAUUUGCCUUCCAGACAGUGGGAAAUGGAUUUGCUGUGUGCCAACCAGCCACUGGCAGAGCUGGCAGGGUCGUUCCUGAGCAGUAACUGUCCCUGCCACUUCAGCACCAUCUCCCAGGUCGUCUCCAAGCACUCACAGACCAGGAGAAAGACCACCACAUGAGUUAUUUUCUGUGCCCCCCCAGCUCUCAGCUGACAGGUAACCCUCUCGUUGUACAAAAAGUCCACUAAUGGACCACUUUUGGGACACAGUUACUGCUUUCCUACCAGUGAAGGCAGAGAAGCUGCCUCUCUGGGGUUCAGCAGAUCUGGGAAUGGAACCUAAGCCCCAAACCUCAAUUAUCUCUUGACACUACUUGACCAUGAUCCUUGUUUCUUGCUUAUUUAUUCUUGAGAAACACAAACUCUGGGAUCCAUCCUUGCUUCUUGCUGCAGUGAAGGAGGCAGAUACACAUAGCCAUCAAACCCUCUCAUUUAGGCUUUCAGGCUUAGGCUUUUAUUCUUAAUGCUUCUGAUUGCUCAAGAUUAUAGGGGGAAAAUCACUUUCUAUUAUCACCUAAUGAACCAAGGAAAAUGCUUGGAAGAGGCUCUGGGAGGCACAGAUAUUCUCUGUGGAAGUGAGAGAGGAUUCUGGAUGGAGCUCAGCCACAAGGGUUACUCUUCUUCACCUCCACUCCUAAUGGCAACUUCACUUCCAGGUGUAGGGAGAGGCCUUCUCCAAAGGAAUCCAGCACAGAUGCCACACGUGCCAUCUCUGGCACCACUGGGCCUCUGCCUGAACUAAGCUAAAGGAAGAUCCAAUAUUCUGUCUGCACCUACAGCACUGGCCUUGCUGCCCUUGUCAUAGUAGGUCUGUAGCAUGAGUUUCUUACAGUCCACAACCGACUGUGCCAGCUAAGUU